AGACCAUGAUGUGGGCAUUUUCUUACUAGGUCUUUGUAUCUCUCCCAUGCUUCAUAUAAUGACUCCAUCUCGAAUUAAGCAAAGGUUGUGAUGUCAUUCCUCAACUU
This is a small nucleolar RNA of 107 nucleotides. It matches the Rfam family "Plant small nucleolar RNA R71". Rfam says of the family: R71 is a member of the C/D box family of snoRNAs containing the C (UGAUGA) and D (CUGA) box motifs. The record is from Rfam.